Non-coding RNA from Manis javanica (Malayan pangolin), 289 nucleotides. Lineage: Eukaryota; Metazoa; Chordata; Mammalia; Pholidota; Manidae. The record is from RefSeq and is a predicted model, not a curated record.
GACAGAGUGGUGGCCAGGACAAAAGAGCAUGAUAACACUUGAAGUUUUGGCUGACAGAAGGGUCGGAGUCCUAGCUUGGGUUUUCCAGCAGCAGUGCGGAGACCAAGGCUUUGUGCAAGCAGUUUAUUUGGAAGGUGAUCCUGGGAAAGACCAGAAGGGAAGCGGGCGAUGGUGAUGUUGAAGGAAACCGAUCAAAACUGUUUUCAUCUUGCAAAACUGAAGCUCUGUCCCCAAGAGAGAGUCAGUCCCCCAUCCGUGGGCUGAAUUUGACUCAUCACGGUCCCUCGUG